Molecule: ribosomal RNA, 31 nt
Filed under: Ursus maritimus (polar bear)
Lineage: Eukaryota; Metazoa; Chordata; Mammalia; Carnivora; Ursidae
Source: RNAcentral
GCGCCCGAUCUUGUCUGAUCUCGGAAGCAAA